Molecule: ribosomal RNA, 217 nt
Filed under: uncultured Fusobacteriales bacterium
Lineage: Bacteria; Fusobacteriati; Fusobacteriota; Fusobacteriia; Fusobacteriales
Description: partial 16S ribosomal RNA
Rfam family: Bacterial small subunit ribosomal RNA
Source: RNAcentral
UAAAGAACUUGCCUCACAGCUAGGGACAACAUUUGGAAACGAAUGCUAAUACCUAAUAUUAUGAUAAUAGGGCAUCCUAUAAUUAUGAAAGCUAUAAGCGCUGUGAGAGAGCUUUGCGUCCCAUUAGCUAGUUGGAGAGGUAACGGCUCACCAAGGCGAUGAUGGGUAGCCGGCCUGAGAGGGUGAUCGGCCACAAGGGGACUGAGACACGGCCCUU